GAGGAACCGGGGUGUAGUUCGCUUAGCCGUCGUGCCGUUAAUGGGGCUCGGUGUAUGCGGCUUGCUCUGCCAAGUUUGGUUCGCCCCUUGGGGAGGAGUGCGGUGCAUUUAGGAAACCUAACGGGUGGCUACAGCCUCGGGGAAUCUUUGUAAAGGCUACGUAGUGAAACCCUGCCUAUUCACCUUGGGAGUGUUUAAUGGUUUGAUCGGCCCGAGGCAAGAGGGAAUCACGGCUUGUGGGUAAAGUGCGCAACCUCUGCAGAGUGUUAUGAAACUGAUAUAUCAGCUGUGCUCGCGGUUAUGAGCGGCCAAGGGAGCUCCAUUGAUUAGUGAUACUUGAUCAGAGAUGGUUGGUUUACAGAUGAUGAUGAGGAUGGUUAUGAUCAUGCUUAUGGUAAUGGUAAGUGGUAUUCUUUCCAUUUGGAAAGAGUACUUUGGGUUAAGAACUUGGGUUAAUGCUAAAACCUGGCUUUCUACUAGUAAUAAUAACCUGACCAACUAAAAGCAACUGCUUGACUUAACCUCACAUAAAGCUAGUCCACUACAGCCAAACGGGACAUUUGUUGAGUACGUUGAUGUGUACUCACCCUUGCUUUCACAAAACACCAGGUUGCCUUUGGUGCAAUCUAUGCUCAGGUAAAGAAGGCGUCGAGGCGGAUCUCUAGGAGUUCCAGGACGUCGACGAGUUCGAGGAUUAGGCUAGCGACCUCCCCAGUCAGCUGCCUGUGGUGGGUUGUUUACGUUGGCUACGUUUCGAUUCUGUGUACUUUGAUUUAUAUUAUGUAAAUGGCUCUAGUCUGUAAUAUUAUUACUUACUCUUUAUUGUAAUUCGAAGCAUUGUGCUAUGAUGAGUCAUUUAUGUAAUCGCUGUGUACGUGAAUUACUGAUCCUGGCACGUACAUGGUUCGCAUUCGGUUUACCUUCAAAACCGGGUGUGACAUAAGUGGUAUCAAAGCCGUGCUGAAUGUAGGACCGCUGACCUAGAGUAGCAUUGGCCGUUUUAAGGACUUAUUGAUUAUUACUUCAUCUCAUCCUUGAUUAUGCUUCAAAAUAUUAGUCACCUCGACUAAUUCUAUGUUGUGCUCCUAUAUGCCCCCUUGCCAAAAAAGUAUUUUAUUCUAGUAUGGUCUAUACUUCUCUCAAUCUAUUAGAUCUGAUCUUAUCUUGUGCUUGCGACAUCUUUGUAGAUGCCCCUGACCAUAGCCUUUAGUCUUUUGGGACUCUUUCCUCAUCCAUUAUUAAAUUGCUACUAUUUGACCAUCUCUAUUCCAUUUUGUUAUUGACAUGCUCGUAUCCUUGCAUUUUUAAUACCCUUAUCCCUUAAUCUAAAGCACUUACCCUUGUACCUCUACUACCUAUUUAAACAUUUCAGUUUAUAUGUCCAUGAUCUUACUGUCUUUUGAGACCCUUUCCUAUUCUAUUGAUAAGUCGCUAUCUGUUUGGCAAUUUGUACUUUCUUGGUCUUGGUAUGCUCGUACCAUUGGAAUCUUGCAUACUCUUAUUUUUUUAUAUGUGCUUACCUUUAUAUCCCAAUAUAUGUUUAAGACAUUUCAGUUAACGUGCCCUUGACCACCCUUGUUUCUUAAUGAUCCAUGAGCGGUCAUUCUACUUUGCAUAUCCUUGGUGAUCCCGUUGUCUCCAUGUAACUCCACUCGGUAAUGAAUCUUUACUUCAACCCUUCUGUUGGAACCUUACCGAUCUUACCCUUGAUUGUUUUCUCCACUUUGUCGUUUCGCGAGUCUUGUCUUAACUAUAUCCUUUGUUAUUCUUUUUAAUUGUUAUCAUAUGCACCCUUGACACAUCUAUAUCCUACAUUGAUGUUUGUCUCAUACAUGCCCUUUAAAAUCGCCCCUCUUUCAUCUCAUACCUUCUUUCUCUUGGUCGUAUCCUCUUCUUUGGCUCGCGAGUUUGUAACCUCAUCCUUUGUUGUGCUUUUGUUUCUUAUUGCCUUUACCCUUCUCAUCUCUCAAUCUUACCUUGGUGAUUACGCUAUGUUCGUUAUCUAAAACCUCCAAUCUCCCACCUUAUUUCAAGUGUGGUCUCUUACUUAUCUCACCCGUGGUUAUAUCCUAUACUUUACCUCUUGCAAGACUUAUCUUAUCUCUAUUCUUGAUUGUACCUAGAUUCCUGGUUUUUUAUGCACAUUUACCUCUUCCUUUAUAUCCUUGCCUAUCAUCACCUUUGACCCUUGACCUCUCUCCAUAUUUACCAUGAUGCUUACCUAUUUCUUAGCCUCACUUAUUCCAUUUCAAUCCGAGAGUGUUAUUUUCCCUAUCCUGCUCUUGUUCGUUUCCUUUCCCUUUGUCGCUUUGCAAGUCUUGUCUUACCUUAACUUCAUCCUUUGUGUAGCUUUUGUUUGAUAUCAUCCUUACCUUUGUAAUCUGUAGAUCUUGCCUUGAUACUUAUCUUAGGUCUGCUUGUUGAAAUCCCCUCUUUUCUAUCUCAAUUCGAGAGAUAUGUUUUACUUAUCUCACCCUUGACUAUAUCCUCUUCUUUACCGCGUGUAGGCCUAGACUUAACUCCAUUCGUUAUUGUAUUUGUACCACUUGCUCUUCUAUGCCUUUAUCUUUUCUCUUACACCCUUGUCCGUUAUCGCCUUUGGCCCUUGCGAUAUUUAUGUCUUCUACCUAAAUGCUUACCUUAAACUUAUCCUUUAAAUCCUCCCCUUUCUUUCAACCCAGUUUGAGAGUUGCGAGUUACCUACCUCUCCCUUGAUUUCUUUUCACUUCUUGUCGCCUUACAAGUUUUGUUUCAAUUCCAUCCUUUGCUAUGUGUUUUAUUUGCUAUCACCACCUCCUUGUCAUCCAUCAAUCUUGCCUUGAUACUCAUCUUUAUUCUGGCUCUUUAAAAUCUCCUCUCUUCCACCUCAAUUGGAGAGUGGUUGUUUACCUAUCUGGCCAUUGGACGUACCUCCUUCUUUUUCAUCUGCAGGUCUUGUCUUAACUCCAUCCUUUGUGGUAAUUAUAUCCUUGGUUAUCAUGCGCAUUUAUCUCCUCUCCUACAUCCUUGUCCGUUAUCACCUUUAAACCCUCGUGAUAUCUAUGCCCUUGCCCUCAUGCUUACUUUGAACCUACCCUUUAAAGCCUGCUAUUUUUCAUCACUGUUUGAGGAUAAUGCCUCACCUACUUCACCAUUGAUUGCUUCCCCUUCUUUGAUGCCUCACAAGUUUUGUCUAAAAUACAUCCUUGGUUGUGUUUGUCUGUUAUCACCUUAACCCUUGUCAUCCCUUGAUCUUUACCAUGAUGCUUGUCUUGCACCUGCAUUUUAAAGCCUCCUCUCCCAUUUCAUUUCAAGAGUGAUGUCUUGCCUAUCCCGCUCUUGUUCAUUCCCUUUUUCCUCUGUCGCAUUGCAAGUCUUGUCCUAACUCUAUCUUUUGGUGUGUUUUUGCCUUUCACCUCCCUUACCUUUGUAAUCUCUAGAUCUUUCCAUGAUGUUAUCUUAUGCCUACCUUUUGAAAUAUCAUCUUUUCCAUCUCGAUUUGAGAAUGGUGUUUUACCUAUCCUGACCUUGGUUGCAUUCUCUCCCUUGUCGGUUACAAUCAUUGCUUUAGCUCCAUCCUUUAUUAUGCUCAUGCCCCUACUCUCCAUGUCUUAUUAUUCCCCUUGCCUUUUGUUGGCCUUAGAGGAAAGACCACCAUUUAAUUAAAAGGAACGUAUAGAAACGAGAUGUUUGUUGAUGUGUGCUCAUGAUGUUUGUCCUUCUGCUAUGACUGAUUUGCUUCUUUGGAAUGAGUGUUGAUGUGUUGUGGCCCUUGGACCGCAAUGGAAUCUAUUUACUAGGUGAGUGCCAUAGAGUUAAGUAGUUGGGUUCUCCCCCUGCUCUCUCUAAUCCGUCUAUACUUACCUUUUCUCGUUAUUCUUUCCUCUUACACCUGUCCUUUUGGCAACCUCCAACUCCUCCAAAUCAGUCAAGAUCAGAGUCGGCAACAUCUUCAUCAAGUGUGUAUCAAUGCUCUUGUUAAGGGGGUUAGCCGCUAACCCUGAUGAAGACAAUGCGAUUAACAUCAACCAACAAGAUCAGAGUGGCGUAGCGAAAGCGUGUGUGGGUCCUUACCCACAGGUCCAGGAGGUCCUCAAGAAUUGCAUCAAUCGAUCUCAAGCAUCUGAUGGUCAAAGCAACCAAUUCACAAGUCAAGCCGGCGGAGGCAAAGUUGAGUUAGAAAAAGAUAUGAAAGACUAAUGAACCAAUCUCAUUUUCUUGCUAGCCUCUUCUUGAAUCUCGAGGACGAGAUUCUGUUAAGGGGGUUAGAUUUGUAACACCCUGAAUUUGGGGGUAUAAAAUUUCUUUUCUAAUAUCCACCAAAUUCAGGUGUUACUCUCUCAGUUCUUCGCUUUCCUUUCUCUUUUCACUAAAAAUGGAGAAUCAUUUUGUUUUAUAUUAGCGUAAACCUAAUGGAAUGAGCCCUAGAGGCACUUUGGUUGUUGCAUUCAUGCUGUUGCAUAGUGUUUCUAAGUGCAAAAUGUGUUUGAAAUAUGUUAACAUAUCUUAUAGAAGCGCUCGGUAAAUUUUCAUAUUUUUCGGAAUAUUUUUCUAUUUUCCGGAAACCAAAAUCUAUUUAUUUGUGGAACCUAAAAAUGUUUUUAGAAAUUCUAAUUAUAUUUUUUGAGUUCAUUAGGUGCCAAAACAUUUAUAGGAAUUUUUCUGGAAUUUUUGAAAGUAUCUAUAAUAUUUUGAGCACAAAAUAUGGAUUUCUAGACUUUUUCGAAUUUUAAAAAUAGUAAAAUCCGAAUUUUAACUGAAUUUUUAUCUCGUCCAAACCCUAGGUAUAUAUACAUGUCCGGCUUCAUCUCGUCGAGCCCGUUCCAGAACACAAAACGUUUCCCCCAAAUCCAAUCCCUAGCUCCCGGUAUUGCUCGUCGAAGUUCGGGGCGGUUCCAACUCCGGCGACAAAUCCGACGAGCAAUUACUCCCAAUCCGUGCAUCGUCUGCGGAAUCCGAGGGUACCGCUGCAUUCGUCUCGUCGAAGGCUUCGUCGCAGCGCGUUCGGUUCAUUGAUUGGAUCCCCGAAUCUCCGGCAAUCGACGGAUUUCUCCUCGGCUCCGGCGAGGGUCUUCUUCCCCGGUGAGAAACCUCCAUUGUUGCACCUAGGGUUUUUUCGUUUCUUCGUUUUCCCGUCCGUGCAGAGCCUCUCCCACUCUCCCCUCACCUUCCUCGGUGGCGGCGCCCCUCCCCCCUCCGUUUCCCCUCCUUGACGGCGCCCCUUUCUCCCUCCCCGACGGCGGCGGCGGUGGCCGGCGGUGGCGCCCGCGUUCCCGUGCUCCCGCGCCCGCGCGCACCCCUCCCCGGCAGCGGUGGCCGCGCCCCUCGCGCCCCGUGCGGCCGCGCCCACCCCGGCCGGCCCAACCUCGUCCUCCCCUGCGCAGCCCCCUCCCCUUCCUCUCCUCUCUCUUCCAUGGAUGAGAGGAAGAAGAUGAAGAGAGGAAGAAGAUGGCAAUUUUGUAAAUUUAGUCCGCGCGAAUUACAGUAUGUUUUAAAACAUUCAUAACUUUUGCGUUUUAAACCCGAUUCGAUUCAUUCAAGUUGCGUUAGAUUCGUAUUAAAAUUAUCUUAAUUUAGAAAUAUUUAUCCCAAUUUUUUCACAUUUUAUUUAAUUUAGUUAAACGUUUGUUUAACCAGUGGCUACUAAAACGACAUUUCAAUUUAAAAAUCUAAUUUAGGAAUUCGAUUCGCGCAUUUAUAAUUAGUCACCAAUAUGAUUAACCUUAACUGAAAUAUUACUUAUUAAUAAUUGUUUAGUGUAAUCACGUUGUCAUUUAUUUAUUAGUUUCGCAUGUCGGUUCGCGCGUACCGUGCGCGUGCCGCGGUGCUGUUUCACGCAUGUCGUUUGCAAGUGUCGCGCGUGUUGUUCGUACGCGUUGUCGCGUGCCGUUCACGUGUAUCGCGUGCCUUGCCGCGUGCCGUUCGCGCGUAUCGCGUGUUGUCCGCAUGCUAAGUCCUUUGUGUCCACGCGUUGCGCACAUCGUGUUUGCACGUCGUGCGUCGUUAAUUCGUCUCGCUUAGAAUCACUCAUAUUCAUUAAGUUACUUGCUUAAUUGUCAACUAUUAAAAUAGUAAGUUAGUCAAAACUAAGUAGUAGUAUUAAUUUACAUUUGAUUAAUAUCAAUUAAUAUAAUUAUGUUGAAUUAGAUGUUCUAAUUAGUACUUGUUUAACGUAAACGUGCUAACCCCUCGACCAUAGCUUCGUCUAUCAUGGUUCUUUUUCUCGCGUAAUCGUAGAAGCGCUCUCUAUUUUUUAUUGCUCGCUUUUAUAACAUUUUAUCUUGUAUGGUGUAAUGUUCUUAUGCAUAUGUAUAUGUUUGUUUGCUUGUGCCUGUUCGUCUUCGCUUCGCGUUGCGAUUAGAUCGCGAUUCGUUUCUGAGCUUCGAGGAAUCGACGGACAAGCUUCGGCGACCAAAUGACCCAGCUCUUCGAGUUCUACGAAGCUGAAGACCCUGAGCAUCUGUUUGGUGAAGGCAAGUGUCCUCUAACCUAUUAUGUCCAAUUUACUUUAUAAUUCAUCAACCCGCAUACCAUGAUCAACCUAAGGAUUGACUAGCUUUGUAUUUACCUUGUCCUUGAUUACCUUUUGGGUUAUUAUUGUUUAGCUUUAUGCUAUUGCUCAACUCUAAUCAAUGAACAUGAUGAGAAUUAUCAAUGAUACGUUGUUUCCCUCCUUUAUUAUGAUGUUGUAUCUGUGGUAUUCAAGGGGGCUCGAGCGGUUUCUCGAGUGCCUCUCCGUAAGGACCUGUUCGUUGGAUGACCGCCCGGGAAAACAGUGCAACCAUGAGGGUGGAAUGGGAUGCCCUUAGCUGAAUAAUUAGAGGAACCGGGGUGUAGUUCGCUUAGCCGUCGUGCCGUUAAUGGAGCUCGGUGUAUGCGGCUUGCUCUGCCAAGUUUGGUUCGCCCCUUGGGGAGGAGUGCGGUGCAUUUAGGAAACCUAACGGGCGGCUACAGCCUCGGGGAAUCUUUGUAAAGGCUACAUAGUGAAACCCUGCCUAUUCACCUUGGGAGUGUUUAAGGGUUUGAUCGGCCCGAGGCAAG
RNAcentral lists this long non-coding RNA (7020 nucleotides) under Zea mays. RNAcentral describes it as "long non-coding RNA (ZMAY_LNC000910)". The record is from RNAcentral. Lineage: Eukaryota; Viridiplantae; Streptophyta; Magnoliopsida; Poales; Poaceae.